UCUCUCUGCCCCACUAACGUGUUCAGCUCAAACCCUCUCACUCACACCAUCUUCAUUUCACGACCACGCCGCUGGAGAGCGCAGCCACGCGUGACGGUCAAAAAGACCCAAGUGGGAACUACUAGUCGGUGUUGUCGUCCGUUGGAGAGGAGCUCGAGUUAACGACUUUUAUUUCUUUCGUAUUAUAUUUCAUUCUCUCUAUUCCUCGUUCGUACCGUUUCUUCAGCAUGGUUUUAAAUUGCCUGUCAAGAGAUUUACGCUGCUUCCCGAGGCGGUUCAGAGCCGUUCGGUACGUCAAAAAGGUCGCCCUAGUCGACAUUGGAAGCAAAUAACACGGGAAUAACGUGGAUAAUAUUAACGGUCUGCUCCAGGCGACAUUAGAAGCCAAUAACACUGGAAAAACGUGGAUGAUAUUAACGGUCCGCUCCAGUCGACGUUAGAAGCCAUUAACACUGGAAUAACGUGGAUGAUAUUAACGAAGACAGUACAGUCAGUCUAUGACUAUUUCACCGAAGCUCGUACUGUACAGUGCAGUAAAGUGAUAUCCACUACCUUUAAAACAAAACCGGGACUGCAAAGUUGUAGCCGUGGCUGGCUGGGUCUACCACCACCACCACCACCACCACCAAACGGAAAUCCAGGUGGAAGACGAAGGAGGAGGAGAAGAAGGAAUGGAGGACUACUCGGAGAGAGGAGCAAAGGAGCCUUAAAGGGAGCGACGCUUGGCGAGCUAACCCUCUGUCUGCCUGGCCCGGGUGAAUGCAAGGGGGAUUUCUAUCAGACAGAAGAGAGAGAGAGAGAGAGAAGAGAGAGAGAGAGAGAGAGAGAGAGAGAGAGAGGAAAUCUGAGGCGUGCAGUGAGAGCUACUGGAUGCCUGGCCCCCCUCCUCACCGGGCUGAGCCGAGCAUCUCCUGCCGCAUAGCGCUGCGCUGAGCCCGGGCAACAACGCCAGGAUGACUGUGGUGGCCGGAGAUAACAUGGAUGAGACGUCCACCCUGCCGGGACACCUGCAGGACACCUACCCACCUGACCACAAUGACCACGAGUGCUGCGAGAGGGUUGUCAUUAAUAUCUCGGGUUUGCGCUUCGAGACCCAGUUAAAAACACUGAGCCAGUUCCCUGAGACGUUACUUGGUAACCCCAAAAAAAGAAUGCGUUACUUCGAUCCGCUUAGAAACGAGUAC
RNAcentral lists this long non-coding RNA (1184 nucleotides) under Salmo salar (Atlantic salmon). RNAcentral's name for it is "lncRNA (ENSSSAG00000090696.1)". The record is from RNAcentral. Lineage: Eukaryota; Metazoa; Chordata; Actinopteri; Salmoniformes; Salmonidae.